UCAUUACCUGAGCUGAAGUUGGACGCUUAACUGACUGAGCCACCCAGGCGCCACAUUAGUGUACAUAUUUUAAACUGGGGGUGGUGUUUUACCAGGCAACCUGCCAGUGUGGACAAAAGAAAGCCUAGUGAGGCUUCAAGCGUCCUGGAGCAGAGCAGGAGGGAAGAUGAGAGCUGCAAGACCAGCAAGGCGUUCUGGGAAGGACAAGCAGGCUGUCAACCAUGGGCCAGGGAGCCCUGGCCACCGUACAGCCUUCUCUUGUUACAGGAAGGUGGGGGCAAGAUCAUCCUCCAGCGUCCGUUCAUUCAUUUGAGGACUGUUUGUCCAAUGCCUGUGCCACAUGCUGGGAAUCAGGUGGGCAAAACGGACAUGAUUCUUAGCCUCGAGGAACUUCCAGUCCAAUGUGGGGGACAGACUAUAAAACAAGUGACUAGAACUACCCAGUGUGGCAGGUGCUGUCCAGGCACAACAGGGCACUGAGAUCAAUGCUAAGGGCUGGUGUGGAGGUCCCUGCGGACCUGACUCAGGGAAGGUCUCUCUGAAUCCCUAACGCAACUUUCAGCAUGAACUUAUUUUCUCAUCCCAGAAGUAUUUGGAAGGAUUUCUACCAGCUCUUCCAUUUGCGAGUAUUCUAGUGACGAAAGGAAAAAAAAAAAAAUCACAAGGUAGUGAGCUAGGGAAACC
This is a long non-coding RNA of Leopardus geoffroyi (Geoffroy's cat), 684 nucleotides long. RefSeq lists it as uncharacterized. The record is from RefSeq and is a predicted model, not a curated record. The transcript is spliced from 2 exons. Lineage: Eukaryota; Metazoa; Chordata; Mammalia; Carnivora; Felidae.